GCGGAGAUGGUGGAACUGGCAGACACGACAGUUUGAGGGGCUGUUGAGGCAACUCAUGGGGGUUCAAAUCCCCCUCUCCGCACCA
RNAcentral lists this transfer RNA (85 nucleotides) under Candidatus Omnitrophota bacterium. Its description in RNAcentral is "tRNA-Leu". It matches the Rfam family "tRNA". Rfam says of the family: Transfer RNA (tRNA) molecules are approximately 80 nucleotides in length. Their secondary structure includes four short double-helical elements and three loops (D, anti-codon, and T loops). The record is from RNAcentral. Lineage: Bacteria; Pseudomonadati; Candidatus Omnitrophota.